UCUGCUAGGAGCCAGGGUGUGGAGACAGGGUGGAGAUGGGAAGGAGAGACCCCAGCCUGACAUGCACCAGAGCCCCUGGGCCCACAGAGCAGGCCCUGGGAAAAGGUCUCUGGGUGACUGACCGUCCACAUGAACCUGAGGCAGCAGCUGCCCAGGUAUUCAGCUGGGGGAGGGAGUGAGCCUCUGGGCCACCCCUGACCCCUACCCACUUGGCCCCAGCUCAGCGUCAGCCAGCAUCCAGCGACCGCAGAGACCUGGGAGGGCGGCUGCGACUACAGGGGCCCCACGUGAUCUGGGCCACCUGCCUCCAUGGACAAUGACAGCGACAAUAAAGUGUUUGUGUCCCA
Molecule: non-coding RNA, 347 nt
Organism: Odocoileus virginianus texanus
Lineage: Eukaryota; Metazoa; Chordata; Mammalia; Artiodactyla; Cervidae
Source: RefSeq, a predicted model, not a curated record